This 465-nucleotide ribosomal RNA is filed under the name uncultured bacterium. Its description in RNAcentral is "partial 16S ribosomal RNA". It matches the Rfam family "Bacterial small subunit ribosomal RNA", at positions 28 to 507 of the family's 1533-position model. The record is from RNAcentral.
GACGGACGCUGGCGGCGUGCUUAACACAUGCAGGUCGAACGGAAAGGCCUGCUUGCGGGGUACUCGAGUGGCGAACGGGUGAGUAACACGUGGGUGAUCUGCCCUGCACUUCGGGAUAAGCUUGGGAAACUGGGUCUAAUACCGGAUAGGAGCCAUCUUUAGUGUGGUGGUUGGAAAGUUUUUUCGGUGUAGGAUGAGCUCGCGGCCUAUCAGCUUGUUGGUGGGGUAAUGGCCUACCAAGGCGGCGACGGGUAGCCGGCCUGAGAGGGUGUACGGCCACAUUGGGACUGAGAUACGGCCCAGACUCCUACGGGAGGCAGCAGUGGGGAAUAUUGCACAAUGGGCGCAAGCCUGAUGCAGCGACGCCGCGUGGGGGAUGAAGGCCUUCGGGUUGUAAACUCCUUUCGCUAGGGACGAAGCUUUUUUGUGACGGUACCUAGAUAAGAAGCACCGGCUAACUACGUG